UACAGAGGGUGCGAGCGUUGUCCGGAAUCACUGGGCGUAAAGGGCGCGUAGGUGGCGGCCCAAGUCCAUGGUGAAAGCUCGAUGCUCAACAUCGAGUCGGCCACGGAUACUGGGUUGCUCGAGCACUGUAGGGGCAGAUGGAAUUCCGGGUGUAGCGGUGGAAUGCGUAGAGAUCCGGAAGAACACCGGUGGCGAAGGCGGUCUG
This 205-nucleotide ribosomal RNA is filed under the name uncultured bacterium. Its description in RNAcentral is "partial 16S ribosomal RNA". It matches the Rfam family "Bacterial small subunit ribosomal RNA", at positions 524 to 728 of the family's 1533-position model. The record is from RNAcentral.